Molecule: long non-coding RNA, 6158 nt
Filed under: Sus scrofa (pig)
Lineage: Eukaryota; Metazoa; Chordata; Mammalia; Artiodactyla; Suidae
Description: lncRNA (ENSSSCG00055025950.1)
Source: RNAcentral
AAUGACCUAGAGUGAGUCACCCGCUCUCUCAGAGUCCGCGAAGUUGCAGGUUAAGAACCUGACUAGUAUCCAUGAGGAUGCAGGUUAGAUCCCUGGCCUCCCACAGUGUUAAGGAUCCAGCGUUGCCGUGAGCUGUGGUGCAAGUUGCAGAUGUGGCUCAGAUCUGGCGUGGCUGUGGCUGUGGUGUAGGCCGGCAGCUGCAGCUCCCAUCCAGCCCCUAGUCUGGGAACCUCCUUAUGUCACGGGCACGGUCCGGCAGCGACUGAGGGCGUCCAGGGGAUUUGCAGGUGCAGCCAGAGUUGAGAGGCCCAGCACAGGCGAGGCGAGGACGCCUGGAGAACGUGGGAGGCGCUCCAUUAACUCACUUUGCUGUCACUGUCAUUCCAUCUUCCCCUGGCGUUGGUGACCACUGAGCAUUUUCACCCAGCUGCUGUGAAGCUGGUAUGAUCAUUCCUGACCCGAUUUGAUUGUCUUUCUCAGCAUUAAACGCCCAGCACCUACUGAGGCCGUUUUUAAGUGAGCGUUAGGGAGCUCGCUGCUCUGAUGCAGAAUCUCCAAAUUUUGAGCCUCUCACUGGCCUUGCAGCGCCUUUUGCAUGGAAUACCAUCGGCAAUUUUGUGGGAGCCCUUUCCUGGGAUGACCUGGCUUUACUGUGGACUGGGGGCCGGGAGGCACUGUUGCUUCCCAGCUGGAAGGCACCCCUGCCCCCCAGCUCCUCCAGGAAGCCAGGUGCCAGGGGGAAGGGGAAAAUGCUUUUGAUAGAUAAGGUAGUUAAUUCCAGUCUUGAACUCUUACAAGGAGGAGUCUGCACAAAUCACAGGUUUGUUUGAAUGUGAAAAGAACAACUGGAAAGUUUCACAGUGACAAGAUAAGUGCAGGAAUUAUAUUUAAAUGAGUACAGAAGAAAAUUUCACCACAAACCCCAUUAACGAAAGAAGGUUCUCUACAAUGGGGUGUAAUUGAAUUAACGCAAAGAUCUGUGUUCGGGCCAGUGCCUUCCUGGCUGUGUUCGGGGCUGGUGCAGGCUUCAUUCCUAUUUCUUCCACCCAAGGGCUGGGCUGGGCAUAUGGAUCAAACCCACCUGAUAGUGGAUUUUUAGCAGAAGAGAAACAUCUAAUACGGUGUGUGCUGUGAGGGGGAAAAAAGUAAGACAGGCUUAACAGAAAGCAUAGGAUCUUUUAAGGCACUGUUUGGUGCCUUGCAUGUUGCCGUUACUUUGCUAAUGGAAUUGCGUCCUAAGGAAAUGUUGUGUAACACAUGCGCUUCGGUGGGGCUUCACCUUUCCAGGUUUCUAAAGCCUCACUUCCCAGUAUAAUCCGGGGAAGGAGGCUGCGAGGUCUAGGCAUCCUCAUUUUGUGGAUAAGAAAACUGAGAUUUACCACUUAAAUAACAGUCACCGUAGCUGGAAAGGUGGUCCUUGGCCGACUGGACUCAUCUUAAGACUCUCAUUUUGGUGCUUUUUCUAUCUUACACAUUUUUACGUGAUUUUACUUGGAGGUUGAAAAAAGUAAAGAUGUUGAGAGUUUCCCUUGUGGCUCAGCUGCUAACCAACUUGACUGGUAUCCAUGAGGAUGCGGGUUCAAUCCCUGGCCUCCCUCAGUGGGUUAAGGAUCCGGCAUUGCCGUGAGCUGUGGUGUAGGUCGCAGACUCAGCUCGCAUCCCACAUUGCUGUGGCUGUGGUGUAGGCCAGCGGCUGUAGCUCUGAUUCGACCCCUAGCCUGGGAACUUCCACAUGCCAUGGGCGUGGCCCUAAAAAAAAAGCAAAUAAACCAAAAAAGUAAAGAUUUUUUUAAAAUUGAGAUUUCAUCUUAAAGCAAAAGAAUGAGGAAAUUGAAAAUUGUGAAAUAUGAAAAUUGGCCUUUGCCCAGUAACCCAAAUAUGCCUUUGCCUUGGCUUUCAUCUAGCUCUGGGAAUCUUCAAGUCCUUUUUCCACAAAGGGCUUCCUGAAACAUUCAGGACCUCAAUCACUAAUCACAGACAGAUGGGAAGAAAAGUCAGAGCAAGCUGCAUGAAGAAAAGUGCCCAGAUCCUUGAAAUAAACUCUUCCUAACCCCCCACCCCAACCCUUUUGUAAUGAUUAGCAAAGAUCAGUGACACCAUAAUCUCUGAGGCUGAUUGACCAGGAAUCUGAUGUUGGAUAUUCCAGUAGAUGCUCUCCAAGUCAAAGUCAGCUGGCACUUUCUGAACCCGGAGGAAAGUCAUGUUGGGUGCAAACACCCAGAGGUGUUAUUUAAUACAGAGGAGUUCACCGUCUUUUUCACGGCAGACAAUACACGGUCAUUUUUUACGGCACCAUGUGGGUUCCCAAAAAUCGAUGGCUCGUUCCUGGAGGGGCCACAGUCUCAGGAAGGAGUAGAGCUGAGGUCUGAUCUGGGUGACCUCUGCCCUGAAUUAACAUUUCCAGUGGGUCACUUUUAGGCGUGCUGUCGCAUUUGUCUCGUCUGGGUAUGACAGGGACAAUAGCACGUCUCCUGCACGGUUCAGAAGGUGCUUUUUAAAGCGCCCUUUAGGAAGCCAUCGAAAUCACGACAUUUAUUGCCAGUGUCUUCGAUGAACUUAAAGUCACCUCCUAUCACACCUCCAGGCGCGAUAGUAUUUCUGUUCCUGUGACAACUGCGUCAUGUCACCCUUGGCACUUUUACUGUCCUCUUCCUAGAAUACCCCCAAAGUGCUUUCUGAGCGGGUUAACUGCUGAGUGCCGCCUCUUUCCUGCUUCGGGGAGAGCAGCGUCACCCCAGGCACGGGCCACUGCGUGUGUGGGAGGUCGGUGGGUCACAUUCGGCAUCCCUGACUCCGCUCCUGCAUCUCGACGCAGGGCCUGAGAGCCACGCUCAGGCGUCGUUCCUUUUUACCCGUUCCUCUUUCCGAACCCUCAGCCUUGCUACUACCCCUGCCGCAUCCCUCCAAGCCAACAGCACAGCGCUGUCACCCAAGAAAACAGACUAGGAGCCGAAGCGUGUUUCAGGUUGGGGCUGGCCUCGGAUUGGAUUAGCACCGGAAUCAAGUCACCGUUACCAAGGUCCGGUGCACCAAGCCCUAUGGGCGCGCUUCGGCCCCGCAGCUUUGCAUUUGCUCCCAAAAAAGGCGGGGUGGGGGGGGGGGGGAAGGAGCCCCGACCCCGAAGACGAUACACGGCCCUUUCCAGUCUGGUGGCAGCGUGUGUGGCCUGGCAGUGGGCCCUGUCCAGCACUUAUCUUCCGAUUCCCUGCUUCACGUGGCCCCCCACUUGAGGUGAGAAGGGCACAGCCGUGCCAGAGAGUGGGCGGAAACACAGCCUUGUUCUUAACCUGCGCCGAGAACGUCGCGUCUCCUUGGACGUCUUCAUUCGCCGAUGCGGCCCCGGAUCGCGGUGCUCCUCCGGCAGGGCGGCGCUUAACCUGCUCCGCCCCACGUCUGGGGGCGCCCCCACCGCGGGGACGGGGAGAAUUAGGCCCGGAAAAUGGCCCUGUCCCUUUCCUUGUCAUAUCACUGGACGCCGUAAUCAAGCUGCUUCUCUCGAUGAGCAGCGUGUGGUCAUGGACCUCGGUGAGUCGCUUGGACCCGGCAUCCCACAGUGACCCUGGGCAGCGUGGGCACGUGUUCGCCUCCUCCUGGAGAAGGAGAAGGGACGGGGAGUGACGGCCAAGAGCAGCUCGGCCUCUGCAGCCGCCGAUCCAGGUCUAUACACGCGCAGGUUUUGACACCCUGCUCGCUAAUGACUUGGGUCUGUAGAGCCACACUUGUCACAGCAUCAUCUCAUUUAUUGCCCAUCAUGGCCCUACGAGGACACACGUGGGGCUCUCGUCUUGACCUCCCACAGAAUGGACCCUGUGCUGGAAGGCGGCCAGGGACUUAUUACCCCCACCAGGGGGCUGGGGACAAAAGCCAUCACCCUGGCCUCAGGCCAGGGCUCCUUCUGUCCCACUAGGCCGAGGGCUUCACCGGGGGGGCUUCCAAGGUGUGUCAUUGUCUCUAGCUCCAGCUCCCAUCCAGCUGGUAGACAGGAGGGGAGCCAGGCUUCCCUUUGCUCGUGUCACAGGGCAGAAGGGUGACAAGCAUCCCUGCCUCUGUGCUCUACAGAGCCCGCUCGGGGUCUAGGUUGGAUCCCCCCAAGGAAGGCAGUUGGAGUGCUUAUCCGCUGUCUCUCAAUGAGCCACUGGUCGGGUGGACAGUGGAACACACACUGGCCUUGGGGCUGCCAUGCUCAGUGUGUGGCGUCGUCUCACGUCUUUGACAGACGUGGGGGGUGGGGUGGAGGGGCGGCAACUCUUACAGCUUUACUCCCAAGGGGGUGUCUGAUACUUAGAAGCAUGUACACCAAAUCCGCUCCAGUUCCUGCCUGCUUAGUUCGUGGGUAGAUACAUAUGGCCAAUUCUAGUUCAUGUCUCUGCAAGGAAUCUUCUGUAUCUUUCUUGAUGCUGACAGUUUUAUUAGGGCUACUUCUUUAGGUUUUGUUGUUAUUACUCCUUUAAAAAUGUAGUGUUGUGGCAGCUCGGAGGCAGUCGCAAAAUACUCUUUUUUUUUUUUUUUUUUUUUUUUUGGAAUACACAAGCUGGAUUAAAAUGUACAGUAACUGUCACCUGGUACCCAGACCCCUGUAGCUGUGUCAACAUUUGCCAGUGAUUUAUUGCAUUAAAUUGGAAUCAGCUGAUAUUUGGUUCCAUCGUUUUGAACUCUGCAGGGUUAAUCUGCAGCCUGCUGGUACACAUGAAAUAGUUGUUUUAUCUGCUGUUCUAAGACUGAUGAAAUGUUUAAAAGAUGGCUGUGUAAUCAGUCAGUUAUCUCUCAGUGGUACGGCUUAUUCCGCAUGGCAGUGUACAAUCUCCAAAAUAAUUAUGCUGCCGUACUUAAAACAUGGGCGCCGAAUGCAGCCACCGAUAAAACUUGGUUCAGCGAGACCUUUCCCCCAUUGGAUCCUUCUAUCUUGUUAUCUUCGUAGAGGGAAGAGCAGGGGUUGUGAUGGUCAGCCCUCCUGGGAGCCUGAAAGCUUAGGGCAAGACCUGGGAGACAGAGCACUUAAUCUAUUGUCAAAGGCUUUUCUUCCCUUUGACCUUUUGUUUUUAGCUGAACUUGAUUAGACCAGACUUUGAUUCACUCACCCGGACAUAGGUGGGCCCUUUCGAAGUAAGGAUGCUGAUGCUUCGAGUUUUCCUUUGUCCUGAAAGCAAUUAAGAGGUACCUCAAGUCAGGGGAAUUUGAAAAAAGAAAAAAUUCCACACCAGUAUCCACUUUUUUAACAUUGUCCUUUCGUAGCCAGAAGAUCUGAAAAAGGCGUUUGCUGGGCUUCCUACCUGGCAUUUUCUUCACAGCUCGUCUGAAGGAAAAAGCAUCAUAGAUUAUUUUUUCAUAAACUGAAUAGUCUCUGGGGAUAAUGAUUCCUGUUUACAAAGACAGUAGCAAAAAUCCUUACCGAUGUUUCAAGGAAGACCCAAGACUCGGCAUAAAAUCUCGUAGACUGAGUUCCACCAAUUAGAUGACACACGCUGUCUUUGAACCCAAGGUAACUUUUUCAGUUCACGGGGAAGAAAAGCAUGCAAUGAAUUCAUUGUAUCUGGGGGCCCUUCUCCUCCAGUGGACCAGGAGCAGCAUACCUGUUGAGUCAGGAGAGAUGCACGUGGACGGGGUUGUAGCACUGGGUAUAUGGCAUGCUGCUCGGUCGAAUGGGUACAGGUGAGCGAUUAGCUCGGAAGAUAUGUUAGGUUUAGGGGAGGGGGUUUGUGUGUUUUCUUUAAGAAGACAGUCCGAGAUGCGCUCGCUCUGUUUCUGGGACCGUUCACUCUGCCCGAUGCGGUUGCUCAUCACCUCGUUGCUGCGUCACUCCCUCGGGGCAGUAGAGCACGUGACUCCCGCACAGCCACCCAUCCCUCCAGCCCAGCCCCUCUGCUGUCCUUACUGGAACAUGGGCCCCACCUUUUCCUGCUCCCCAACCAGACGCGUCAGAAGUGGAUGCCAGGGAGUUCCCUUCGGGGCUUAGCCGUCAACGAUCUGGACUAGGACCCAUGAGGACACAGGUUCUGUCCCUGGCCUCACUCAGUGCGUCAGGAAUCUGGCGUGGCCAUGAGCUGUGGGGUAGGUCAUAGACGAGGCUCGGAUCUGGUGUGGCUGUGGCUGUGGCUGGCAGCUAUAGCUCCGAUUCAGUCCCCAGCCUGGGAACCUCCAUAUGCCGCAGGUGCAGCCCU